This 808-nucleotide ribosomal RNA is filed under the name uncultured Pelagibacteraceae bacterium. Its description in RNAcentral is "bacterial SSU rRNA". It matches the Rfam family "Bacterial small subunit ribosomal RNA", at positions 32 to 888 of the family's 1533-position model. Lineage: Bacteria; Pseudomonadati; Pseudomonadota; Alphaproteobacteria; Candidatus Pelagibacterales; Candidatus Pelagibacteraceae. The record is from RNAcentral.
UACGCUGGCGGCACGCCUAACACAUGCAAGUCGAACGCAGUAGCAAUACUGAGUGGCAAACGGGUGAGUAUAAUGUGGGAAUCUGCCUUUUGGUUUGGAAUAACACGGGGAAACUUGUGCUAAUACCGGAUAAGCCCUUACGGGGAAAGUUUUAACGCCGAAAGAUGAGCCUGCACUUGAUUAGCUAGUUGGUAAGGUAAAAGCUUACCAAGGCAACGAUCAAUAGCUGUUCUUAGAGGAAGACCAGCCACAUUGGGACUGAGACACGGCCCAGACUCCUACGGGAGGCAGCAGUGGGGAAUCUUGCACAAUGGGGGAAACCCUGAUGCAGCGAUGCCGCGUGAGUGAAGAAGGCCUUUGGGUUGUAAAACUCUUUCGUCGGGGAAGAAAAUGACUGUACCCGAAUAAGAAGGUCCGGCUAACUUCGUGCCAGCAGCCGCGGUAAUACGAAGGGACCUAGCGUAGUUCGGAAUUACUGGGCUUAAAGAGCUCGUAGGUGGUUAAAAAAGUUGAUGGUGAAAUCCCAAGGCUCAACCUUGGAACUGCCAUCAAAACUUUUUAGCUAGAGUGUGAUAGAGGUAAGUGGAAUUUCUAGUGUAGAGGUGAAAUUCGUAGAUAUUAGAAAGAACACCAAAUGCGAAGGCAACUUACUGGGUCACUACUGACACUGAGGAGCGAAAGCAUGGGUAGCGAAGAGGAUUAGAUACCCUCGUAGUCCAUGCCGUAAACGAUGUGUGCUAGACGUUGGAAAUAUAUUUUUCAGUGUCGCAGCGAAAGCAUUAAGCACACCGCCUGGGGAGUACGACCG